GACCGCAUAGCUCAGUUGGAAGAGCAUUGGGCUAGUAUUCCAAAGGUCGUAGGUUCGAAUCCCACCAUGGCCG
Molecule: transfer RNA, 73 nt
Filed under: Paramuricea clavata
Lineage: Eukaryota; Metazoa; Cnidaria; Anthozoa; Malacalcyonacea; Plexauridae
Rfam family: tRNA
About the family: Transfer RNA (tRNA) molecules are approximately 80 nucleotides in length. Their secondary structure includes four short double-helical elements and three loops (D, anti-codon, and T loops).
Source: Rfam by way of RNAcentral